This 504-nucleotide ribosomal RNA is filed under the name uncultured bacterium. RNAcentral's name for it is "partial 16S ribosomal RNA". It matches the Rfam family "Bacterial small subunit ribosomal RNA", at positions 29 to 523 of the family's 1533-position model. The record is from RNAcentral.
AUUGAACGCUGGCGGCAGGCCUAACACAUGCAAGUCGAACGGUAGCACAGAGAGCUUGCUCUCGGGUGACGAGUGGCGGACGGGUGAGUAACGUCUGGGAAACUGCCCGAUGGAGGGGGAUAACUACUGGAAACGGUAGCUAAUACCGCAUAACGUCGCAAGACCAAAGUGGGGGACCUUCGGGCCUCACACCAUCGGAUGUGCCCAGAUGGGAUUAGCUAGUAGGUGGGGUAAUGGCUCACCUAGGCGCCGAUCCCUAGCUGGUCUGAGAGGAUGACCGGCCAGACUGGAACUGAGACACGGUCCAGACUCCUACGGGAGGCAGCAGUGGGGAAUAUUGCACAAUGGGCGCAAGCCUGAUGCAGCCAUGCCGCGUGUAUGAAGAAGGCCUUCGGGUUGUAAAGUACUUUCAGCGGGGAGGAAGGCGGUGAAGUUAAUAACUUCACCGAUUGACGUUACCCGCAGAAGAAGCACCGGCUAACUCCGUGCCAGCAGCCGCCGCAG